Molecule: ribosomal RNA, 497 nt
Filed under: uncultured bacterium
Lineage: Bacteria
Description: partial 16S ribosomal RNA
Rfam family: Bacterial small subunit ribosomal RNA
Source: RNAcentral
GAUGAACGCUGGCGGCGUGCCUAAUACAUGCAAGUCGAGCGAACAGACGAGGAGCUUGCUCCUCUGACGUUAGCGGCGGACGGGUGAGUAACACGUGGAUAACCUACCUAUAAGACUGGGAUAAUUUCGGGAAACCGGAGCUAAUACCGGAUAAUAUAUUGAACCGCAUGGUUCAAUAGUGAAAUACGGUUUUGCUGUCACUUAUAGAUGGAUCUGGGCCGCAUUAGCUAGUUGGUAAGGUAACGGCUUACCAAGGCAACGAUGCGUAGCCGACCUGAGAGAGUGAUCGGCCACACUGGAACUGAGACACGGUCCAGACUCCUACGGGAGGCAGCAGUAGGGAAUCUUCCGCAAUGGGCGAAAGCCUGACGGAGCAACGCCGCGUGAGUGAUGAAGGUCUUCGGAUCGUAAAACUCUGUUAUUAGGGAAGAACAAAUGUGUAAGUAACUAUGCACGUCUUGACGGUACCUAAUCAGAAAGCCACGGCUAACUACGUG